UAAGGAAUAUUGGUCAAUGGACGCAAGUCUGAACCAGCCAUGCCGCGUGAAGGAUGAAGGUCCUCUGGAUUGUAAACUUCUUUUAUCUGGGACGAAAACGGGAUUUUUAUCUCAAUUGACGGUACCAGAGGAAUAAGCACCGGCUAACUCCGUGCCAGCAGCCGCGGUAAUACGGAGGGUGCGAGCGUUAUCCGAAUUUACUGGGUUUAAAGGGUGCGUAGGUGGGCUUAUAAGUCAGUGGUGAAAUCUCCGAGCUUAACUUGGAAACUGCCGUUGAUACUAUAGGUCUUGAAUUAUCUGGAGGUAAGCGGAAUAUGUCAUGUAGCGGUGAAAUGCUUAGAUAUGACAUAGAACACCAAUUGCGAAGGCAGCUUACUACAUAUAAAUUGACGCUGAGGCACGAAAGCGUGGGGAUCAAAC
RNAcentral lists this ribosomal RNA (420 nucleotides) under uncultured bacterium. RNAcentral's name for it is "bacterial SSU rRNA". It matches the Rfam family "Bacterial small subunit ribosomal RNA", at positions 355 to 773 of the family's 1533-position model. The record is from RNAcentral.